UGGAAGAUUUCCAUCUUUAUAGGAGCCG
RNAcentral lists this non-coding RNA (28 nucleotides) under Rattus norvegicus (Norway rat). Lineage: Eukaryota; Metazoa; Chordata; Mammalia; Rodentia; Muridae. The record is from RNAcentral.